RNAcentral lists this ribosomal RNA (253 nucleotides) under uncultured bacterium. RNAcentral describes it as "partial 16S ribosomal RNA". It matches the Rfam family "Bacterial small subunit ribosomal RNA", at positions 524 to 776 of the family's 1533-position model. The record is from RNAcentral.
UACGUAGGGUGCGAGCGUUGCCCGGAUUUAUUGGGCGUAAAGGGCGCGUAGGCGGUUUGACAAGUCUGAUGUGAAAUCUCUGGGCUCAACCCAGAGUCUGCAUUAGAAACUGUCGGGCUUGAGUAUGGGAGAGGUGAGUGGAAUUUCCGGUGUAGCGGUGAAAUGCGUAGAUAUCGGAAGGAACACCUGUGGCGAAAGCGGCUCACUGGACCAUAACUGACGCUGAGGCGCGAAAGCUAGGGGAGCAAACAGG